This 2045-nucleotide ribosomal RNA is filed under the name Gammarellus angulosus. RNAcentral's name for it is "partial 18S ribosomal RNA". It matches the Rfam family "Eukaryotic small subunit ribosomal RNA". Lineage: Eukaryota; Metazoa; Arthropoda; Malacostraca; Amphipoda; Gammarellidae. The record is from RNAcentral.
CACGGCGAGACCGCGGACGGCUCAUUAAAUCAGUCGUGGUCCAUAUGGGCCAGUGUUGAUCCUACUUGGAUAACUGUGGUAAUUCCAGAGCUAAUACAUGCAACUCUUAUUCUGAUGUAUGGUCGGUCGGUUCUCUCUCGUAGGGUCCGAUUGUUCUCCGCUGACGAAUGCUUUUAUUAGACCAAACCGCUGGGGAUGUGGGUCUUUCUUCCGAGAGAUUCACGUUUGACCCGACAUAUGGUGACUCUGAAUAACCUUUUGACGAGCGCACGUAUCCCUCUUAUGAGCGGAACGGCGCUGCCACUUUCGAGUGUCUGCCUUAUCAGCUAUCAAUCGUUCGUUAUGCGCGACCGAUGGCUUUGACGGGUAACGGGGAAUCAGAGUUCGAUUCCGGAGAGGCAGCCUGAGAGACGGCUACCACGUCCAAGGACGGCAGCAGGCACGCAAAUUACCCAAUCCCAGUACCUGGGGGAGGUAGUGACGAAAUCUAACGAUGCGGGCGCCCUUUCUGGGGCCCCGCAAUCGGAAUGGGCACUUUCUAAACAACCUGUUGAGAACCUACUGAAGGGCAAGUCUGGUGCCAGCAGCCGCGGUAAUUCCAGCUUCAGCAGCAUCUAUUAAAGUUGCUGCGGUUAAAAGGCUCGCAGUUGAAUGUCAGUAACGGGCGCAGUGAAGGUGGACGCUGGGGUGUGGGAAUACAAGGCGUGUGUGUGUCUCGGGUUUAGCUGUUCCGCUCCCCUUUGUUGAGGAAAAGUUCGGCGGCUCUUGCGCGCAUGGGUCUCUCACAAACCCCCGUCCGUAACCAGCCUCCUCGCUCGCGUACAUAUCGAAUUCGUAAACAAAUGGAGUUGCGUUGCGGCUUGCGUCCGUUUCGAUGGGCGCUUGUUUGCGCGCGUUAAGGCUCUUUCGGGUUCACAGUCACCUUGAGUAAAUCAGAGUGCUCAAAGCAGUCGUAGGGGUCUCGUAUCCCGUAAACAGUCUUGACGGACUGACUUGGUUUUGCAUGGCAUGUCGGAAGACGACGUCGUGUGUUGGCUCAGGAAUGUAACCAGUGGUAAAAGCCAGCACCGACGUAAUGAUUAACAGGAACGGUCGAGGGCAUUGGUAUUGCGAGGCGAGAGGUGAAAUUCUAUGACCCCCGCAAGACCUCCUGAAGCGAAAGCGUCUGCCAUGGACGUUUCAUAAUCAUAACGACCAGGCGUGGAGCUGCGGCUUAAUUUGACUCAACACGGGCCACCUCACCAGGCCAGCACUCUUGUAUGAUUGACAGAUUAAGAGCUCUUUCUCGAUUCAGUGGAUGGUGGUGCAUGGCCGUUCUUAGUUGGUGGAGUGAUCUGUCUGGUUAAUUCCGAUAACGAACGAGACUCUCCCCUGCUAACUAGUCGGUUGGAUCUUGCUCGGUGAGUCGUGUGCCGGGAACACUCGGGCGUCCGUGGCGCGUACGGGAAUCUGUGGUGGUCUGGUGUGUCGUUGGUGUUUGUGUAGCUACGGUUGCGCAUCAUCUCGGCGUGCUUUUCCGCUCUCUUUUUCAAGCGUGUUCACGGGUUUCGUUCGAACCUCGGGCCACACACUCCAAGUCCGCCGCUUAUGCUAUAACUCUUCUUAGAGGGAUUCACGGUACUGAAGCCGUCAGAAACUGAGAGCAAUAACAGGUCUGUGAUGCCCUUAGAUGCUCUGGGCCGCACGCGCGCUACAAUGCCGGGCACAGCAGGUAUCUCUCCCGCUCCGACAGGAGCGGGUAACCCUCUGAAAGCCCUUGGUUUUUCUCUCGUGUCUCUGAGAUACGAUCGGCGUGCUUGGGCCUGGGGCUUGAAAUUCUUUCCCACAAACGAGGAAUGCCUAGUAGCGGCGGGUCACUGAGCCCGCUGUGACUCAGUCCCUGCCCUUUGUACACACCGCCCGUCGCUACUACCGAUUGGGUGUACCAGUGAGAGCCUUGGACUGGCGUCCGUUGCCUUCGGGCAAGCGGUUUUCGACGGAAAGAGGUUCGAACUGGUGCACUUAGAGGAAGUAAAAGUCGUACAAGUUUCCGUAGUGAACUGCGA